AGGCGGUACCUGGACGGGUUCGUCCCGGGCUGUUUCGCGUCCGGCCUGAGGCGGCUGGGGCCGCGCAGGUAGUGUCCCUGCACUUCUUGCCCGGGCGCGUGAGGCCAGCUCCGCUGCGCUUGUCUCCAGCUUCCAGCCCUCCUCCCCUAAGCCGCCGCCAUCAUGCUGCUGCCUGUGUUCACCCUGAAACUGCGCCACAAAAUCAGCCCCCGAAUGGUGGCCAUAGGGCGCUACGACGGGACUCACCCGUGCCUGGCGGCCGCCACCCAAACGGGCAAGGUUUUUAUUCAUAAUCCUCAUACACGGAACCAGCAUGUCAGUGCAUCCAGGGUCUUCCAGAGCCCCCUGGAAUCUGAUGUUUCUCUUCUCAGCAUUAACCAGGCAGUCAGCUGUCUGACUGCAGGCGUAUUGAACCCUGAGCUUGGCUAUGAUGCCCUUUUAGUGGGGACACAGACUAAUCUUUUGGCUUAUGAUGUCUACAAUAAUUCGGAUUUGUUCUACAGAGAGGUAGCAGAUGGGGCAAAUGCAAUUGUGCUGGGGACAUUGGGAGACAUUUCUUCCCCUCUUGCGAUUAUUGGUGGCAAUUGUGCUCUGCAAGGUUUCAAUCAUGAAGGAAGUGAUCUCUUUUGGACGGUUACUGGAGACAAUGUUAAUUCCUUGGCCUUGUGUGACUUUGAUGGUGAUGGAAAGAAAGAGCUUCUUGUUGGAUCUGAGGAUUUUGAUAUCCGAGUUUUUAAGGAAGAUGAGAUUGUGGCAGAAAUGACAGAAACAGAGAUAGUCACCUCUCUUUGUCCCAUGUAUGGCAGUCGAUUUGGUUAUGCCCUUUCCAAUGGCACAGUUGGAGUUUAUGACAAAACAUCCCGAUACUGGAGAAUUAAAUCGAAAAAUCAUGCCAUGAGCAUUCAUGCUUUUGACCUUAAUUCUGAUGGAGUGAAUGAACUGAUAACUGGUUGGUCCAAUGGGAAGGUUGAUGCUCGAAGUGACCGAACUGGGGAGGUCAUCUUUAAGGACAAUUUUUCUUCUGCAAUUGCCGGUGUGGUAGAGGGAGAUUACCGGAUGGAUGGCCACAUACAGUUAAUCUGCUGCUCAGUGGAUGGGGAAAUCCGGGGCUACCUGCCUGGCACGGCUGAGAUGAGGGGCAACCUCAUGGACACCAGUGCAGAGCAGGACCUGAUCCGAGAGCUGAGUCAGAAGAAGCAGAAUCUGUUGCUGGAACUCCGUAACUAUGAGGAAAAUGCCAAGGCUGAAUUGGCCAGUCCACUGAACGAGGCUGAUGGGCAUCGGGGCAUAAUCCCAGCCAAUACCAGGCUCCACACCACGCUCUCAGUCAGCCUGGGGAAUGAGACCCAAACUGCUCAUACAGAAUUACGCAUUUCCACUUCUAAUGACACCAUCAUCCGAGCAGUAUUGAUUUUUGCAGAAGGAAUUUUUACAGGUGAAAGCCACGUGGUACAUCCCAGCAUUCACAACCUCUCCAGUUCCAUCUGCAUCCCUAUUGUGCCUCCCAAAGAUGUCCCUGUGGAUCUGCACUUGAAGGCAUUCGUGGGUUACAGAAGCAGCACCCAGUUUCAUGUAUUUGAAUCGACAAGACAGCUCCCUCGAUUCUCCAUGUAUGCGCUGACCAGCCUGGACCCUGCCAGUGAGCCAAUCAGUUAUGUUAACUUUACCAUUGCAGAACGGGCACAGAGGCAGUAAAACUAGAAAGAAGGAGAACUCUUCCCUCAAGAAUGGCUGUACCUUCAUAUCUAGAGGCACAUUAAAAAAAAGAACGUCUGUACCUUAAAAAUGGAGGUCAUUUCAUUGUGUUCAUUUUCAAGGUUGUUGUAUGGCUCGGUCAGAACUUUCUGUUACCAGAAGACACUCACAUUCAGAAUGCUCCAUUUCAAGUGUGUUUCACAUCUUUACGGAAUGGCGGCCACCUGCAUAUAAAAAUAAAACUUAGUGGAGAGAUCACUAUAAAUACUGAUGAUAUUGAUUUGGCUGGUGAUAUCAUCCAGUCAAUGGCAUCAUUUUUUGCUAUUGAAGACCUUCAAGUAGAAGCGGAUUUUCCUGUCUAUUUUGAGGAAUUACGAAAGGUGCUAGUUAAGGUGGAUGAAUAUCAUUCAGUGCAUCAGAAGCUCAGUGCUGAUAUGGCUGAUCAUUCUAAUUUGAUCCGAAGUUUGCUGGUCGGAGCUGAGGAUGCUCGUCUGAUGAGGGACAUGAAAACAAUGAAGAGUCGUUAUAUGGAACUCUAUGACCUUAAUAGAGACUUGCUAAAUGGAUAUAAAAUUCGCUGUAACAAUCACACAGAGCUGUUGGGAAACCUCAAAGCAGUAAAUCAAGCAAUUCAAAGAGCAGGUCGUCUGCGGGUUGGAAAACCAAAGAACCAGGUGAUCACUGCUUGUCGGGAUGCAAUUCGAAGCAAUAACAUCAACACACUGUUCAAAAUCAUGCGAGUGGGGACAGCUUCUUCCUAGGUGAGGAAAAUACAGGUCAUGAAGUUCCUGGCAAAGAUUUUCUGUUAAAAACCUAUGCUGGUUUGCUUUGGAUCACACCCUGGUGAACCCCGGGUGCUAAGAAUGAAAAUAACCUUGGUGAGUUGUACAAAUUAAAGACAAAGAACUACAUGUGAAGAUAGACUUGCUUUCUAUUUUUAAAUCAGUAGUAGUACUGUUGCUGAAUAAUACUAGGUUUUUAUGGAAUAGGAUGAAUGCUUUUGAAGUAUUAGGGCUUCAGAGUCCAAUUUUGCUUAUUUAUGGUAUAUAAAUACAUAUUUUUUUCUUGAAAUUGCAAUUGAGUUUGUACUUUUCAAAUAGAUUAUCUACUUUUUCAUUAAAAUGUAAAGAUGUUAAA
This is an RNA transcript of Homo sapiens (human), 2832 nucleotides long. It is a transcript of the gene named Bardet-Biedl syndrome 2, with no coding region annotated. The record is from RefSeq and is marked reviewed. The transcript has 17 exons. Lineage: Eukaryota; Metazoa; Chordata; Mammalia; Primates; Hominidae.